AGGGGGAGUAACAUCCGGAAACGGGUGCUAAUACCGCAUAGUUUCUUGAUCGCAUGAUUGAGAAGGAAAGAUGGCCUUUGUGCUGUCGCUUAUGGAUGGACCCGCGGCGUAUUAGUUAGUUGGUGAGGUAACGGCUCACCAAGACGAUGAUACGUAGCCGACCUGAGAGGGUGAUCGGCCACAUUGGGGCUCGAGACACGGCCCAAACUCCUACGGGAGGCAGCAGUAGGGAAUCUUCCGCAAUGGACGAAAGUCUGACGGAGCAACGCCGCGUGAGUGAAGAAGGUUUUCGGAAUCGUAAAACUCUGUUGUCAGAGAAGAACAAGUUGGAGAGUAACUGCUCCAGCCUUGACGGUAUCUGACCAGAAAGCCACGGCUAACUACGUGCCAGCAGCAGC
This 398-nucleotide ribosomal RNA is filed under the name uncultured bacterium. RNAcentral describes it as "bacterial SSU rRNA". It matches the Rfam family "Bacterial small subunit ribosomal RNA", at positions 135 to 518 of the family's 1533-position model. The record is from RNAcentral.